Molecule: non-coding RNA, 356 nt
Organism: Camellia sinensis
Lineage: Eukaryota; Viridiplantae; Streptophyta; Magnoliopsida; Ericales; Theaceae
Source: RefSeq, a predicted model, not a curated record
UGCCAGUCAUAGAUGACUGGGGAUGCUGUGUAGGAUUGCUGCACCGAGAAGACUGCAACAAGUUAAAUGCCCCACUUUCAUCGAUGAUGAGAAGCCCGCCUCCUUAUGUUACAACCUCGACAUCUGUUGGUCGUGUGAUUGACCUAAUGUUGGAGAAGGGCUACAAAAUGGUGGUCGUUGUAAAUUAUACUGGUAACUUUUAUGGUACGUCUUACAACUCAAGUUUGAGGCCAGUUGGUGUUUUUACAUUAGAACAAUUAGAUAAGCUUGCUAUUAUUCCUAGCAUCCGUAGUGACAUGGCAACAGUUUCUGUCUGUCAAAGUUCAUUGUAAAGGUAAACUAGACAAUUUUUCCUC